Molecule: non-coding RNA, 1272 nt
Organism: Xenopus laevis (African clawed frog)
Lineage: Eukaryota; Metazoa; Chordata; Amphibia; Anura; Pipidae
Source: the annotation of a RefSeq genome assembly
CUGGGUCAGAUCUGUGCAGGGAUUUAAUAGGGAUCCUGAUAGGAGAUACAGUACCAUAGUAGCAGAGCAAUCCUGUACUGAACCAUGUCCUGGGCUGUCCUCCUCCUCUCUCUCACCUCUCUCUGUACAUAUUCAGCCGCCCAAGUCUCUCUUACUCAGCCAGUGUCUGAAUCAGUGAAAUUGGGGGAGACAGUGAGAAUCUCCUGCACACUCAGUGGUUACAGUAUCAGUGAUCGUGCUGUGCACUGGUUCCAGCAGAAAGCAGGGAAUCGCCCCAGAUACUUACUGUGGUUUAAUUCUGACUCAAGCAAACACCAGGGAGAUGGGGUACCUGAUCGGUUCUCUGGAUCCAAAGAUUCCCCUAAUAAUGUUGGCUAUUUAACCAUUAAAGGAGCCUUACUAGAAGAUGAUGCAGAUUAUUACUGUGCUAUAUGGUAUUCCAGCUCGUUUAUAUUCGGUGGUGGAACCCAGCUGACCGUCCUCACAGGUGACGUGAAAGCCCCUUCAGUGUCCAUCUUUGCUCCCUCCGAGGAAGAAAUAGCCACCAAAAAGGCAACAGUGGUCUGCAGUCUGAGUGAUUUCACCCCCAGAGGUGCCACAGUGAAGUGGCUGGUGGAUGGGAAAGAAAAGACUGACAGUGUUCAGUCCUCAGGGCUCAGCAAACAGAGUGACAACCUGUAUAUGGAGAGCAGUUAUCUGUCCCUGACUGCAGAUCAAUGGCUCAAACAUGAAACCUAUUCCUGCAAAGUCUCCCAUCAGGGCAAGGAAAUAAUCCAGACGCUGAAAAGAUCAGACUGUUCAUAACUCUCCAACAACCCACCACUGUCUAUUCCUUUUUGCCACUUUUUAUCCAUAAAGGGAACUUAUUGCAUAUAAAAGAACUUGUGCAUGUGUAAUAAAAUUAUAGUCCUAAGUGUUUCUAACCAUUCAGUAAUUGAUGUGAUUUUAGUCAAACAACAUGAGAACAUCUACAUUUAUUGAACAGCAAGAUUUAUAUGGAAAUGCCAGUUCCUUUUAAACCUGUGAAGCGCUGCAGAAGUUUGAAAUGAAAAAUUAAGUUGAUAUACACUUUGGUGUUAUGUUUUAGAACAUGUGAUUCAGCAAUGUACUAAUUUUGUUCCUUGAUCUUCUGUAUUCACUUCUUUAUUUCAGUAGAAUUAUGCUUCUUAAAGCAAUGCUUUACAUUUUAAUGUCACAGUGUUAGGACCCUCCUGUUCUACUUGUAACUCUUAUGUCUAUAUUAAUCCUUCAAUAAAAAAUCUGUUUAUCAAA